AUGAUAAAAGGAAUUUCCAACAAAACGACGGCCAAUAAAAGCUUUGAACACCUCAGAGUCAAUAUUUAUUCAUACAGGAACUUUAGAAUGCAAAACAACUGCAGAUCUUUUGAAGAACGCUCCAACGUUUAUUGCCACGUUUCUGUAUUUUUUAAGUAUAUCUAAAAUUAGUUUUUUUGGAGUGUAUAUAAGGAAUGUCGUAUCACCGAUUGUACAAGCAGGUCUCACUGGAGAACAAGAAGACUGCAGCAGAACAACAACAACAAAGGAUUCAUUGUUCAACAGCUAAAGCUUCCCUAAAACAAGAUGCUUUCCUGGAUUCAGCUACUUGGUGUUUUCUCGCUUGCCCUGGUUGCUGCAAUGGCGAACAAAGCUUCCCUUGCAACGGUGAACGACGAAUUUAACUUCAUGCAGGAUGCAGCUGAUACAGAAGAUUAUCUUACUGAAGUCAGUCUGGAUGAGAGUCCCGGCUUCAACAUUACCAUUCCACGCUCGUCCAUUUUAGCAGCCAAAAAAUUUAGUGUCACCAUCCCUUUGCUUCUGAGCGGAAAUGGUGUCAACACAUUUUACAGGCACUGUUACUGUUUUAGACGAUUGGCUUCUGUUCCAAACGCUCGUAAUGGUUUCCGUGGAUGGCGUGUUCUUAACCUGGUUGGCUACGUUGUGUCUGGGCAAACCUUGUAUGUGUUCUAUCGCUGUGACACACGCACCGUUUAGUCAACUGUGACUUGCCAAGACCGCUCCGACUUAUAUGAGCCACCAAAGGAUAAACCACUUAACAGGUCCUUAAUGACAGUGAUAUCUAUGUAAAAAAGCCUUUGAUUUGGAGUUUAUAAGAUAUAAUUGAUUACGUUAAAGUAUAACCUUAGAUGUGAAAAUAAUUCAUUGGCUUUUGUAAGUUCCUUUUUGUUUAAAGUAAAGCUUAAUGUUGCUAGAUUUUAACAAACGAUUGCUUGAAUAUUCAGUGAUCCAUUGAUUGUUUUGUUAUUGUUUUGCUUGCUUCCAGGACCCAGGGGCUGUCUACUGUCUAAGCAUGAUAAUAAAAGUCGUACAUGUGAAAUUCCGGUGGAAGAGGGGUACUUCAAUGUUAAACGGGCAGGGAUCCUCCGGGAGAGAAAAAUGGCCUUGCCUUGGAACAUGUACUUGUAAUGAAUAUCAAGUCGGGCGUCUGAUCCCGUAGGGGGUGCUACCUUAUAUGGGCCAUAUAGGUAUGCAUAUGUGCGGCCCCAAAUGCUAUCGCGUUUUAGCCGUUUUGAUCGGAAAUGGGGUAUCGAUUUGGGUCAUUUUAUUCUCAAAUAGGGUAUGAAUUUUCCACUCUUGUCUUGAAUUCGGUAUUUUAGAAGAAGCAACUUUUUCAUCACUAUCGAUAAUACCAUCAACAAAAGCCCUUCACAAUGCCUUUAACAUCGGUCUGAAUUAGAAUGGAAUAGAAUAGAACAGAAAUCCUUUAUUUGAACACGAUAAGUUUUAAAGCUAACAGCUUGCAAUUGUGGGGUCGUGUAUAAAACAAAAGAAAGACCUAAUAACAAUGUAUUAAUAGGUAAAAAUUAAAAACUUCUGACCUUAUAAGAACCUGAUCUAUAUUAACAAUAUUUACACGUCAGAAAACGUUCAAAUAUAAAUAAAAUUGUCAUCACGAUGCCGCACAGUUGAGGCGGACACUACGUUGAAUUUAAAAUCUUUAAAGUAACGUUUUGUUUGAGUUAGGGAACUAAUUAUAAGAAACGGGAUAUUGAUUUAAGUGUCAGGUCUUAAAUAGGGCAUCGAAUGUUUGGUCAGGUGAUAAAUAGGCAAGGGAAAAUCACAGAUUUUGGUCUUAAAUAGGGUAAAGAUUUUGGGAAGCGGACAGCACACCCCAUCCGAUUUUUCUGGGAGUACCCCCUCCCCGGUCGUCUGACCCGUACCUGCUCGAAGGUAAGGCCAUUUUUCUAUUGCAGAGGAUCCCCGUCCGUUUCUUUUUCCUUAGCAGUUACUGGUAUCUAUCCUCAUCUUUUAUUUAAAACGAGGGAAGAAAUCUCACCAGUAAAAAUUAUAAGUAUUACUCAGAGCCUGUUGGGAGGCGCGGUGGCCUCUUGUUUAGUGCGCUGGUCUCCGGAUAGAGCGGUUCUUGGGCAAGACUCUUUACUCUCAGAGUGCCUCUCUCCACCCAGGUGUAUAAAUGGU
Molecule: long non-coding RNA, 2163 nt
Organism: Orbicella faveolata
Lineage: Eukaryota; Metazoa; Cnidaria; Anthozoa; Scleractinia; Merulinidae
Source: RefSeq, a predicted model, not a curated record